ACAUUAUACACAUCACACCCUUUAUGUUUUGGUUCCAUACGGAGUGAGAAUAUUUUGAGGCCGCAUGCGUAAAAACAUCUUUUACUUAAUCUAGAGCCCUUUACAAUGUGGUUCUGAUGUGAUUAAUUCAAGCACAUCAUAACAUUGAGAGUAAAUAAGUCAAUGAAUAGACUACAUUUGAAAAUGCAAUGCUCAUGAC
Molecule: long non-coding RNA, 199 nt
Filed under: Amborella trichopoda
Lineage: Eukaryota; Viridiplantae; Streptophyta; Magnoliopsida; Amborellales; Amborellaceae
Description: long non-coding RNA (ATRI_LNC004097)
Source: RNAcentral